AACGAACGCUGGCGGCAUGCCUAACACAUGCAAGUCGAACGAGACCUCCGGGUCUAGUGGCGCACGGGUGGGUAACGCGUGGGAACCUGUCCUUAGGUUCGGAAUAACUCCCCGAAAGGGGUGCUAAUACCGGAUAAUGUCUACGGACCAAAGAUUUAUGGCCAUUGGAUGGGCCCGCGUUGGAUUAGCUAGUUGGUAGGGUAAAAGCCUACCAAGGCGACGAUCCAUAGCUGGUCUGAGAGGAUGAUCCGCCACACUGGGAGUGAGACACGGCCCAGACUCCUACGGGAGGCAGCAAUGGGGAAUAUUGGACAAUGGGCGAAAGCCUGAUCCAGCAAUGCCGCGUGAGUGAUGAAGGCCUUAGGGUUGUAAAGCUCUUUUACCCGGGAUGAUAAUGACAGUACCGGGAGAAUAAGCUCCGGCUAACUCCGUG
This 433-nucleotide ribosomal RNA is filed under the name uncultured bacterium. RNAcentral describes it as "partial 16S ribosomal RNA". It matches the Rfam family "Bacterial small subunit ribosomal RNA", at positions 29 to 507 of the family's 1533-position model. The record is from RNAcentral.